UACGGGGGGGGCAAGCGUUGUUCGGAAUUACUGGGCGUAAAGGGCUCGUAGGCGGCCAACUAAGUCAGACGUGAAAUCCCUCGGCUUAACCGGGGAACUGCGUCUGAUACUGGAUGGCUUGAGUUCGGGAGAGGGAUGCGGAAUUCCAGGUGUAGCGGUGAAAUGCGUAGAUAUCUGGAGGAACACCGAUGGCGAAGGCAGGUCUCUGGGCCACUACUGACGCUGAGAAGCGAAAGCAUGGGGAGCGAACAGG
Molecule: ribosomal RNA, 253 nt
Filed under: uncultured bacterium
Lineage: Bacteria
Description: partial 16S ribosomal RNA
Rfam family: Bacterial small subunit ribosomal RNA
Source: RNAcentral